This 117-nucleotide ribosomal RNA is filed under the name uncultured bacterium. RNAcentral's name for it is "partial 16S ribosomal RNA". It matches the Rfam family "Bacterial small subunit ribosomal RNA", at positions 1358 to 1482 of the family's 1533-position model. The record is from RNAcentral.
UACGGUGAAUACGUUCCCGGACCUUGCACACACCGCCCGUCAAGCCAUGGAAGCCGGGUGGUACCUAAAGUCGGUAACCGUAAGGAGCCGCCUAGGGUAAAACUGGUGACUGGGGCU